GAUGAAGAACGCAGCGAAAUGCGAUACGUAAUGUGAAUUGCAGAAUUCAGUGAAUCAUCGAAUCUUUGAACGCAUAUUGCGCUCUUUGGUAUUCCGAAGAGCAUGCUUGUUUGAGUAUCAGUAAACACCUCAACCUCUUCUUGAUUUUUCAAAAGGAGGGUGGACUUGAGCUAUCCCAACAACCUUUACCGGUCGGCGGGCGGCUUGAAAUGCAGGUGCAGCUGGACUUUUAUCUGAGCUAAAAGCAUAUCUAUUUAGUCCUCGUCAAACAGGAUUAUUACUUUUGCUGCAGCUAACAUAAAGGAUAAUUGUCCUCUUUGCUGACUGAUGCAGGAUUUUACGACACUUUAUGUGUUGUUCAACUCGAUCUCAAAUCAAGUAAGACUACCCGCUGAACUUAAGCAUGUCAUAAGCGGAGGA
This 420-nucleotide unclassified non-coding RNA is filed under the name soil metagenome. RNAcentral describes it as "partial contains 5.8S ribosomal RNA, internal transcribed spacer 2, and large subunit ribosomal RNA". The stretch from base 1 to 120 matches the Rfam family "5.8S ribosomal RNA", at positions 35 to 154 of the family's 154-position model. The record is from RNAcentral.